AUUGAAAGCCAAAAACACCCUUGAAGAAACACCAGAAGUCAGUGCUUUGGAUCACACUGAGUUCUUUGCUAUUGUUCACUCAUUUGGAAUGCUCUGGGGAUGCUAAAUACUUUGGAUUGGGCAUUAAAAAAGAAACAAAUCUGUGUCUGGUCAAACUGUUCUCACUGGAUCAAGAACUGUGUUAUCUGAAUUGAUUUGCAAAUUCUGUGGUCCUUCAAGACCUAAAAUCCAGAAAAAGGCGUUUGUUCCAAUCACUUUGGAAAAACAGUUCCAGAAUCGUCCCCAGCCCCGGCUGGCACAGCAGCAUCCUCAUUUGUAUGCUGCAGCUUUGUCUAGCAGAAGACAUUCUGCAGCGCCAUUCCUGACUGCUCUCCACCGCGAGUUUUCCAGUGGGAUGGAGCUCCCUCCCGUGUCCUGCAGUGCUUGAUAACACACCCGCAUUGGCUUCUUUCACUUCCCUGUCUCACUCCCCAACUCAGCUCCCAGUGUCUCCUGGGAUCGCC
Molecule: long non-coding RNA, 503 nt
Filed under: Equus caballus (horse)
Lineage: Eukaryota; Metazoa; Chordata; Mammalia; Perissodactyla; Equidae
Description: lncRNA (ENSECAG00000051830.1)
Source: RNAcentral